AUUGAACGCUGGCGGCAUGCCUUACACAUGCAAGUCGAACGGCAGCACGGGUGCUUGCACCUGGUGGCGAGUGGCGAACGGGUGAGUAAUACAUCGGAACAUGUCCUGUAGUGGGGGAUAGCCCGGCGAAAGCCGGAUUAAUACCGCAUACGAUCUACGGAUGAAAGCGGGGGACCUUCGGGCCUCGCGCUAUCGGGUUGGCCGAUGGCUGAUUAGGUAGUUGGUGGGGUAAAGGCCUACCAAGGCGACGAUCAGUAGCUGGUCUGAGAGGACGACCAGCCACACUGGGACUGAGACACGGCCCAGACUCCUACGGGAGGCAGCAGUGGGGAAUUUUGGACAAUGGGCGAAAGCCUGAUCCAGCAAUGCCGCGUGUGUGAAGAAGGCCUUCGGGUUGUAAAGCCCUUUUGUCCGGAAAGAAAUCCUUGGCCCUAAUACGGUCGGGGGAUGACGGUACCGGAAGAAUAAGCACCGGCUAACUACGUG
This 486-nucleotide ribosomal RNA is filed under the name uncultured bacterium. Its description in RNAcentral is "partial 16S ribosomal RNA". It matches the Rfam family "Bacterial small subunit ribosomal RNA", at positions 30 to 507 of the family's 1533-position model. The record is from RNAcentral.